GAUUUCUGGCCUGAAACUUUUUGCCGGCCACGGUUUCGUGUGUUAGUGCUUGAAGUUCGAGCCAUCCUUCCAAUUGCUGUACGUGUCUCUUCAUUGAUUUGCGUGCGGUAUUGGAUCUUUUACUUUGAAAAAAUUAGAGUGUUCAAAGCAGGCUUUUGCUAUGAAUAGAUUAGCAUGGAAUAAUAAUUUAGGACUUCGGUUCUAUUUUGUUGGUUUCUAGGACUGAAGUAAUGAUUGAUAGGGAUAGUUGGGGGUGCUAGUAUUCAGCGGCCAGAGGUGAAAUUCUCGGAUUCGCUGAAGACUAACUUAUGCGAAAGCAUU
Molecule: ribosomal RNA, 321 nt
Filed under: Sandonidae sp.
Lineage: Eukaryota; Cercozoa; Glissomonadida; Sandonidae
Description: SSU rRNA
Rfam family: Eukaryotic small subunit ribosomal RNA (bases 62-321)
Source: RNAcentral